CGAGUGGCGGACGGGUGAGUAACACGUAGGUAACCUGCCCAGAAGCGGGGGACAACAUUUGGAAACAGAUGCUAAUACCGCAUAACAACGUUGUUCGCAUGAACAACGCUUAAAAGAUGGCUUCUCGCUAUCACUUCUGGAUGGACCUGCGGUGCAUUAGCUUGUUGGUGGGGUAAUGGCCUACCAAGGCGAUGAUGCAUAGCCGAGUUGAGAGACUGAUCGGCCACAAUGGGACUGAGACACGGCCCAUACUCCUACGGGAGGCAGCAGUAGGGAAUCUUCCACAAUGGGCGCAAGCCUGAUGGAGCAACACCGCGUGAGUGAAGAAGGGUUUCGGCUCGUAAAGCUCUGUUGUUAAAGAAGAACACGUAUGAGAGUAACUGUUCAUACGUUGACGGUAUUUAACCAGAAAGUCACGGCUAACUACGUGCCAGCAGCCGCGGUAAUACGUAGGUGGCAAGCGUUAUCCGGAUUUAUUGGGCGUAAAGAGAGUGCAGGCGGUUUUCUAAGUCUGAUGUGAAAGCCUUCGGCUUAACCGGAGAAGUGCAUCGGAAACUGGAUAACUUGAGUGCAGAAGAGGGUAGUGGAACUCCAUGUGUAGCGGUGGAAUGCGUAGAUAUAUGGAAGAACACCAGUGGCGAAGGCGGCUACCUGGUCUGCAACUGACGCUGAGACUCGAAAGCAUGGGUAGCGAACAGGAUUAGAUACCCUGGUAGUCCAUGCCGUAAACGAUGAGUGCUAGGUGUUGGAGGGUUUCCGCCCUUCAGUGCCGGAGCUAACGCAUUAAGCACUCCGCCUGGGGAGUACGACCGCAAGGUUGAAACUCAAAGGAAUUGACGGGGGCCCGCACAAGCGGUGGAGCAUGUGGUUUAAUUCGAAGCUACGCGAAGAACCUUACCAGGUCUUGACAUCUUGCGCCAACCCUAGAGAUAGGGCGUUUCCUUCGGGAACGCAAUGACAGGUGGUGCAUGGUCGUCGUCAGCUCGUGUCGUGAGAUGUUGGGUUAAGUCCCGCAACGAGCGCAACCCUUGUUACUAGUUGCCAGCAUUAAGUUGGGCACUCUAGUGAGACUGCCGGUGACAAACCGGAGGAAGGUGGGGACGACGUCAGAUCAUCAUGCCCCUUAUGACCUGGGCUACACACGUGCUACAAUGGACGGUACAACGAGUCGCGAACUCGCGAGGGCAAGCAAAUCUCUUAAAACCGUUCUCAGUUCGGACUGCAGGCUGCAACUCGCCUGCACGAAGUCGGAAUCGCUAGUAAUCGCGGAUCAGCAUGCCGCGGUGAAUACGUUCCCGGGCC
Molecule: ribosomal RNA, 1302 nt
Filed under: Limosilactobacillus fermentum
Lineage: Bacteria; Bacillati; Bacillota; Bacilli; Lactobacillales; Lactobacillaceae
Description: bacterial SSU rRNA
Rfam family: Bacterial small subunit ribosomal RNA
Source: RNAcentral